CCAGACUCCUACGGGAGGCAGCAGUGGGGAAUAUUGCACAAUGGGGGGAACCCUGAUGCAGCGACGCCGCGUGAGUGAAGAAGUAUUUCGGUAUGUAAAGCUCUAUCAGCAGGGAAGAAAAACCGACCAUAGGGUCGCUAGACGGUACCUGAUUAAGAAGCCCCGGCUAACUACGUGCCAGCAGCCGCGGUACUACGUAGGGGGCAAGCGUUAUCCGGAUUUACUGGGUGUAAAGGGAGCGUAGACGGCCAUGCAAGCCUGAUGUGAAAGGUGUGGGCGCAACCCGCACACUGCAUUGGGAACUGUAUGGCUAGAGUGUUGGAGGGGCAGGCGGAAUUCCUGGUGUAGCGGUGAAAUGCGUAGAUAUCAGGAGGAACACCGGUGGCGAAGGCGGCCUGCUGGACGACGACUGACGUUGAGGCUCGAGAGCGUGGGGAGCGAACAGGAUUAGAUACCCCCGUAGA
RNAcentral lists this ribosomal RNA (464 nucleotides) under uncultured bacterium. Its description in RNAcentral is "partial 16S ribosomal RNA". It matches the Rfam family "Bacterial small subunit ribosomal RNA", at positions 331 to 794 of the family's 1533-position model. The record is from RNAcentral.